Molecule: non-coding RNA, 214 nt
Organism: Vicugna pacos (alpaca)
Lineage: Eukaryota; Metazoa; Chordata; Mammalia; Artiodactyla; Camelidae
Source: RefSeq, a predicted model, not a curated record
UUUUGAUUAUUAUAUAGUGUUCUUUGUCUUUCUUUAUGGUCUUUGUUUUAAAGUCUUAUUUUGUCUGAUACGAGUAUUGCUACUCCCACUUUCUUGGUCAUUACCAGUUGCAUGAAAUAUCUUUUUCCAUUCUCUCACCUUGAAUCUGUGUUUGUCCUUCACCCUCAAGUGGGUCUCUUGUAGGCAGCAUAUUGUAGGCUUUAGUUGUAUUAUC